RNAcentral lists this ribosomal RNA (468 nucleotides) under uncultured bacterium. RNAcentral describes it as "partial 16S ribosomal RNA". It matches the Rfam family "Bacterial small subunit ribosomal RNA", at positions 28 to 507 of the family's 1533-position model. The record is from RNAcentral.
GACGAACGCUGGCGGCGUGCUUAACACAUGCAAGUCGAACGGAAAGGCCCUGCUUUUGUGGGGUGCUCGAGUGGCGAACGGGUGAGUAACACGUGAGUAACCUGCCCUUGACUUUGGGAUAACUUCAGGAAACUGGGGCUAAUACCGGAUAGGAGCUCCUGCUGCAUGGUGGGGGUUGGACAGUUUCGGCGGUUGGGGAUGGACUCGCGGCUUAUCAGCUUGUUGGUGGGGUAGUGGCUUACCAAGGCUUUGACGGGUAGCCGGCCUGGGAGGGUGACCGGCCACAUUGGGACUGAGAUACGGCCCAGACUCCUACGGGAGGCAGCAGGGGGGAAUAUUGCACAAUGGGCGGAAGCCUGAUGCAGCAACGCCGCGUGCGGGAUGACGGCCUUCGGGUUGUAAACCGCUUUCGCCUGUGACGAAGCGUGAGUGACGGUAAUGGGUAAAGAAGCACCGGCUAACUACGUG